This 315-nucleotide ribosomal RNA is filed under the name uncultured bacterium. RNAcentral describes it as "bacterial SSU rRNA". It matches the Rfam family "Bacterial small subunit ribosomal RNA", at positions 774 to 1079 of the family's 1533-position model. The record is from RNAcentral.
ACGUAAUAGAUACCCUGGUAGUCCACGCCCUAAACGAUGUCUACUAGUUGUUGGUGGAGUAAAAUCCAUGAGUAAACGCAGCUAAACGCGUAAAGUAGACCGCCUGGGGAGUACGGUCGCAAGAUUAAAACUCAAAUGAAUUGACGGGGGCCCGGCACAAGCGGUGGAUUAUGUGGAUUAAAUUCGAUGCAACGCGAAAAACCUUAGCCUGGCCUUGACAUGUAACGAACUUUCCUAGAGAUGGAUUGGUGCUCGAAAGAGACGUUAACACAGGUGCUGCAUGGCUGUCGUCAGCUCGUGUCGUGAGAUGUUGGG